UGCAGAGAUCAUGGAGGAAGGAUUCCAUAGAAUGAAAAAUCUUGAGAUGAAAAGAACAAUUAUUAUUUGCGCAGCCAUCCUAGUAUUCUUCAUUAUAGCUCUCAUUAUCAUCAUUUGUACCACUAGGAAAAAAGGAGAGAAAGAUGAAGCUGCAGCAAUAGAGGAAGGGAGAAUACUGAAGAAAAAUAAGAUUAAACCUGCAGCACCAAAGUAAAACAGACCCUGGAAUCAAGACCUCUCCAGGGUUCCUGUUGGCUACUCUACCAAUGACUGCACUACUUCCGUCCACCUAACGUCACAUGUUCCAGCAGUCUGUUAAUGCUCUUAGUAUAAUGUUGAUCCAGGGCCUAGUCCGACUGCCAUUUUGGAGUCAGGAAGGAAUUUUUCCCCUUUAGCUUAAGAGGGGUUUUUUCGCCUUUCUCUGGGUCAACUAGAAGAUAAUCUAUCAAUUCUAAAUAAAAUUAC
This is a long non-coding RNA of Xenopus tropicalis (tropical clawed frog), 465 nucleotides long. RefSeq lists it as uncharacterized. The record is from RefSeq and is a predicted model, not a curated record. Lineage: Eukaryota; Metazoa; Chordata; Amphibia; Anura; Pipidae. The transcript is spliced from 4 exons.